CCUACGGGUGACAGCAGUGAGGAAUAUUGGUCAAUGGACGAGAGUCUGAACCAGCCAAGUAGCGUGAAGGAUGACUGCCCUAUGGGUUGUAAACUUCUUUUAUCUGGGAAUAAAAUGUUCCACGUGUGGGAUUUUGUAUGUACCAUAUGAAUAAGGAUCGGCUAACUCCGUGCCAGCAGCCGCGGUAAUACGGAGGAUCCGAUCGUUAUCCGGAUUUAUUGGGUUUAAGGGGCGCGUAGGUGGAUUGUUAAGUCAGUUGUGAAAGUUUGCGGCUCAACCGUAAAAUUGCAGUUGAAACUGGCAGUCUUGAGUGCAGUAGAGGUGGGCGGAAUUCGUGGUGUAGCGGUGAAAUGCUUAGAUAUCACGAAGAACUCCGAGUGCGAAGGCAGUUCACUGGACUGCAACUGACACUGAGGCUCGAAAGUGUGGGUAUCAAACAGGAUUAGAUACCCUGUAGUC
Molecule: ribosomal RNA, 459 nt
Filed under: uncultured bacterium
Lineage: Bacteria
Description: partial 16S ribosomal RNA
Rfam family: Bacterial small subunit ribosomal RNA
Source: RNAcentral